This 480-nucleotide ribosomal RNA is filed under the name uncultured bacterium. RNAcentral's name for it is "partial 16S ribosomal RNA". It matches the Rfam family "Bacterial small subunit ribosomal RNA", at positions 28 to 507 of the family's 1533-position model. The record is from RNAcentral.
GACGAACGCUGGCGGCGCGCCUAACACAUGCAAGUCGAGCGAUGAAAUUUUAACCGAUCUCUUCGGAGAGAAGAUAAAAUGGAUUAGCGGCGGACGGGUGAGUAACACGUGAGAAACCUGCCUUUCACAAGGGGAUAGCCUCGGGAAACCGGGAUUAAUACCCUAUGACACAUUUCCUUCGCAUGGAAGAAAUGUUAAAACUCCGGUGGUGAAAGAUGGUCUCGCGCCUGAUUAGCUAGUUGGUGGGGUAACGGCCCACCAAGGCCAUGAUCAGUAACCGGCCUGAGAGGGUGAACGGUCACAUUGGAACUGAGACACGGUCCAAACUCCUACGGGAAGCAGCAGUGGGGAAUAUUGCACAAUGGAGGAAACUCUGAUGCAGCGACGCCGCGUGAGCGAUGAAGGCUUUCGAGUCGUAAAGCUCUGUCCUAUGGGAAGAUAAUGACGGUACCAUAGGAGGAAGCCCCGGCUAACUACGUG